This 477-nucleotide long non-coding RNA is filed under the name Ananas comosus (pineapple). RNAcentral's name for it is "long non-coding RNA (ACOM_LNC002628)". Lineage: Eukaryota; Viridiplantae; Streptophyta; Magnoliopsida; Poales; Bromeliaceae. The record is from RNAcentral.
CACACCGGCCACCUCUUCUCCCUCUAAAAAAAUAUUCUUUUUCAAAAAAAACUAACAAGCCAGCUUAUUUUUAUCUUUUAGCUACCGUUUGGUUCGGAGUUAAAAAAAAACUAGUUAUUUUAGGAAUAGGAUUAAGUUCAGGGUUAAGGUGGGGUUAGAAUAUUUUUAUGUUUGGUUCGGAGUUGGAGUUAGUCCAGGAUAGUAAAAAAUAGUGUUUGGUUGGAGUAGGUGGAAUAAAAAUAAUUGUGGAUUAUUAUGAAUAGAAAAUAGUGUUUUGUUGGAGUUCGGUGGAGUUAGGUGGGAUUAGCUAAUCCGGAAUAGCCAAUUUGAGGUGGGGUUAGCUAACCCAUCCAUUUUUGAAAGUGUUUGGGAAUAAUAUGGGGGUUAAGGGGUUAGUCCACCCCUUAACCCCCAACCAAACAAAGGCUUAGAAAUAAACUUGGCUACGCAUAUAUAUAAAAUAAUUUGUUAAGUUUU